Molecule: long non-coding RNA, 975 nt
Organism: Siniperca chuatsi (mandarin fish)
Lineage: Eukaryota; Metazoa; Chordata; Actinopteri; Centrarchiformes; Sinipercidae
Exons: 2
Source: RefSeq, a predicted model, not a curated record
GUUUCUGUGGAGGAAAAUGAAGAAGAUGAUUCACGAUUUAAGAAUAAAUUCUUAAUGGGAGCGAAGUUUGGUUUAAGAAGCGUUGCCGCCUGUCAGUUACGUCCAGGUUACAACAGAAUCGGUCAGUGUCAAGGCACACCUCUUCCUCUCCGAAGCUUGAGCCCGUGACUCUCUGCAGCUUGACGCAGCUUGGUGUUUUCAGUUGCACAAGAAGCGGAAACAGAGGGCGGAACUUCCGCUGGACAGGCUGCGCUCUCACUGGUCAACAUGCGUUGUUUUGGUCCUGUUAGAGGCGGGGCUACGGCCUUUCUCUGAUCUCUGAUUGGUUACAGCCAGAAGUUUAUGACCCGUGGGUUCAGCCCAUGGAUGUAUAUAGAGAAGCCUCCCACAAGUUUCACUUUGUAAAGUCCAGACCCGCUGAAAACCUGUUCUCGCACCUGAUAUUAACGUAAAGCCUCCACAUCCAGUUUGUCACGUUACAUUAACGCACAUUUUUGCAAAUCUGUAGGUUUUUAUUUUGUUGUUAUUCUUUUUUUCUUCAUACUGCCAAUAGUUGCACUUUCCAUCUUCUUCAUUUUAAAAUAUAUAUAUUACAUAUUUUAAGUUUAGAUUUCUAUUUAUGACUUGACUUUUAUAGUACUUGUUUUCUUUUCUUUUACUUUGUUUAUUUUGACCGUUAUGCACCACAACACCUAAGGCAAAUCCCUUGUAUGUGAAAACCUACUUACCUACUGCUGAAGGCAAUAAACCUGUUUCUGACACAGUCUACAGUUAAAACUCAGUUUCUCAGCUGCUGUGGCACAAUCAUCUGUGUGCAAUUCACAAGUCAGUUUUCUCAUAACAUUAUAUGUAUUUCUUGUUGCUUGACCCAGUGAUGCACUGUCUUUGCCUUUGUGACCAAAGUAGAUUACACUGCUUUUCUAAUGUUUUGUAUGAUAUGACUCCUAACCGCAUUUAUAAACAUGUAAAUCCUAA